RNAcentral lists this ribosomal RNA (373 nucleotides) under uncultured organism. Its description in RNAcentral is "partial 16S ribosomal RNA". It matches the Rfam family "Bacterial small subunit ribosomal RNA", at positions 527 to 896 of the family's 1533-position model. The record is from RNAcentral.
GUAGGUGGCAAGCGUUGUCCGGAAUUAUUGGGCGUAAAGCGCGCGCAGGCGGUCCUUUAAGUCUGAUGUGAAAGCCCACGGCUCAACCGUGGAGGGUCAUAGGAAACUGGGGGACUUGAGUACAGAAGAGGAAAGCGGAAUUCCAAGUGUAGCGGUGAAAUGCGUAGAGAUUUGGAGGAACACCAGUGGCGAAGGCGGCUUUCUGGUCUGUAACUGACGCUGAGGCGCGAAAGCGUGGGGAGCAAACAGGAUUAGAUACCCUGGUAGUCCACGCCGUAAACGAUGAGUGCUAAGUGUUAGGGGGUUUCCCGCCCCCUUAGUGCUGCAGCUAACGCAUUAAGCACUCCGCCUGGGGAGUACGGCCGCAAGGCUG